ACGGGUGAGUAACGCGUGGGAAUCUACCGUGCCCUGCGGAAUAGCUCCGGGAAACUGGAAUUAAUACCGCAUACGCCCUACGGGGGAAAGAUUUAUCGGGGUAUGAUGAGCCCGCGUUGGAUUAGCUAGUUGGUGGGGUAAAGGCCUACCAAGGCGACGAUCCAUAGCUGGUCUGAGAGGUGAUCAGCCAUAUUGGGACUGAGACACGGUCCAACUCUCUACGGGAGGCAGCAGUGGGGAAUAUUGGACAAUGGGCGCAAGCCUGAUCCAGCCAUGCCGCGUGAGUGAUGAAGGCCUUAGGGUUGUAAAGCUCUUUCACCGGAGAAGAUAAUGACGGUAUCCGGAGAAGAAGCCCCGGCUAACUUCGUGCCAGCAGCCGCGGUAAUACGAAGGGGGCUAGCGUUGUUCGGAAUUACUGGGCGUAAAGCGCGCGUAGGCGGAUAUUUAAGUCAGGGGUGAAAUCCCAGAGCUCAACUCUGGAACUGCCUUCGAUACUGGGUAUCUUGAGUAUGGAAGAGGUAAGUGGAAUUCCGAGUGUAGAGGUGAAAUUCGUAGA
Molecule: ribosomal RNA, 556 nt
Filed under: uncultured bacterium
Lineage: Bacteria
Description: bacterial SSU rRNA
Rfam family: Bacterial small subunit ribosomal RNA
Source: RNAcentral